UACAGAGGGGGCAAGCGUUAUUCGGAAUUAUUGGGCGUAAAGGGCGCGUAGGCGGCUUGGCAAGUGGAUGGUGAAAUCCCUCGGCUUAACCGAGGAACUGCCGUCCAAACUGCUUUGCUUGAGGCCGGGAGAGGUGAGUGGAAUUCCCAGUGUAGCGGUGAAAUGACGUAGAUAUUGGGAGGAACACCAGUGGCGAAGGCGGCUCACUGGACCGGUACUGACGCUGAUGCGCGAAAGCGUGGGGAGCGAACAGG
This 254-nucleotide ribosomal RNA is filed under the name uncultured bacterium. Its description in RNAcentral is "partial 16S ribosomal RNA". It matches the Rfam family "Bacterial small subunit ribosomal RNA", at positions 524 to 776 of the family's 1533-position model. The record is from RNAcentral.